AGUGAACGCUGGCGGUAUGCCUAACACAUGCAAGUCGAACGGCAGCACAGUAAGAGCUUGCUCUUACGGGUGGCGAGUGGCGGACGGGUGAGGAAUACAUCGGAAUCUACUUUUUCGUGGGGGAUAACGUAGGGAAACUUACGCUAAUACCGCAUACGACCUACGGGUGAAAGCAGGGGAUCUUCGGACCUUGCGCGAUUGAAUGAGCCGAUGUCGGAUUAGCUAGUUGGCGGGGUAAAGGCCCACCAAGGCGACGAUCCGUAGCUGGUCUGAGAGGAUGAUCAGCCACACUGGAACUGAGACACGGUCCAGACUCCUACGGGAGGCAGCAGUGGGGAAUAUUGGACAAUGGGCGCAAGCCUGAUCCAGCCAUACCGCGUGGGUGAAGAAGGCCUUCGGGUCGUAAAGCCCUGUUGUUGGGAAAGAAAAGCAGCAGGUUAAUACCCAGCUGUUCUGACGGUACCCAAAGAAUAAGCACCGGCUAACUUCGUG
This 492-nucleotide ribosomal RNA is filed under the name uncultured bacterium. Its description in RNAcentral is "partial 16S ribosomal RNA". It matches the Rfam family "Bacterial small subunit ribosomal RNA", at positions 29 to 507 of the family's 1533-position model. The record is from RNAcentral.